Molecule: ribosomal RNA, 898 nt
Filed under: uncultured bacterium
Lineage: Bacteria
Description: bacterial SSU rRNA
Rfam family: Bacterial small subunit ribosomal RNA
Source: RNAcentral
GUUUGAUCCUGGCUCAGGAUGAACGCUAGCGGCAGGCUUAACACAUGCAAGUCGAGGGGUAUAGGUUUUCGGACCUAGAGACCGGCGCACGGGUGCGUAACGCGUAUGCAAUCUACCUUUUGCAGAGGGAUAGCCCAGAGAAAUUUGGAUUAAUACCUCAUAGUAUAUAUGAAUGGCAUCAUUUGUAUAUUAAAGUCACAACGGCAAAAGAUGAGCAUGCGUCCCAUUAGUUAGUUGGUAAGGUAACGGCUUACCAAGACUACGAUGGGUAGGGGUCCUGAGAGGGAGAUCCCCCACACUGGUACUGAGACACGGACCAGACUCCUACGGGAGGCAGCAGUGAGGAAUAUUGGACAAUGGGCGCAAGCCUGAUCCAGCCAUGCCGCGUGCAGGAUGACGGUCCUAUGGAUUGUAAACUGCUUUUGCACAGGAAGAAACAUCCCGACGUGUCGGGACUUGACGGUACUGUGAGAAUAAGGAUCGGCUAACUCCGUGCCAGCAGCCGCGGUAAUACGGAGGAUCCAAGCGUUAUCCGGAAUCAUUGGGUUUAAAGGGUCCGUAGGCGGUCUUAUAAGUCAGUGGUGAAAUCUCCCCGCUCAACGGGGAAACGGCCAUUGAUACUGUAGGACUUGAAUUAUUAGGAAGUAACUAGAAUAUGUAGUGUAGCGGUGAAAUGCUUAGAGAUUACAUGGAAUACCAAUUGCGAAGGCAGGUUACUACUAAUGGAUUGACGCUGAUGGACGAAAGCGUGGGUAGCGAACAGGAUUAGAUACCCUGGUAGUCCACGCCGUAAACGAUGGAUACUAGCUGUUGGGAGCAAUUUCAGUGGCUAAGCGAAAGUGAUAAGUAUCCCACCUGGGGAGUACGUUCGCAAGAAUGAAACUCAAAGGAAUUGACG